UCAUAAAUCUUUUAUUUUAUAUAAAAAUUCGCAGUGUCUUCAUAAUCAUCAUUUCAAUCUGAACACGAAUUCGAGUUCAUUAAGAACAAUCGCCUAUUCUAAUCAUAACUGGAUUGGACAAUCCUUGAUACGGAUGUACGUUUCAUCAAAUUGCUCUAUCAGCGGACGAGGGUGCAUGUAUUCGCUUAUUGCUUCCGCUUAGCUGAGACGAGUAUGUCUUUCCCGUCGCGUUGAAAGUACGACCAAAAGUCUUGUUGGUACCUUGCAUACGUGUCGGAUACAUAUUCGCGAGCAGGAUGUUUCAUAAGGUGCCGCUUUAUAACGAUCCCGAGCGUUCGGUCGUUUCCUGAAUCGAAAACGACGUACUUACGUCGUUCUCAUGACGCGUUGAGUAUCACGGGAACGAGACAAAUUGAAAAGUGUUACUUUCAUGCCAAUAAAACGAGCCAGCUAAUUCCGAUAGAAUAUACUCACAAAGGAUUCAUCUGCGCAAUGUGAAAAUCUAUGAACUAAUUUUAAACUGCCGGUGGAUCUACAUUGGAAAUCUAAUUUUUUAUUAUUUAUUUUUAUGAAUCUAUUGUGAUACUUCAUGUUGCUGGCGUUGUUGGAAAAAUUGUACAAGGUGGAACAAAAAAAUGCGCAGUCUAAUAACUAAAGGUAUAUGAAAGGAUUAUAGCAUUAAAAUUGAGACACGAAAGGAACACAAUCAGCUAGAAGAACUCUCCCAUAAUGAAUACAAUGCUUUACGUAAGAUAGCACGAAUACAUGGGAAAAACUUCAAAAAACGUGACGAUCCUUCAUCGUCGUCAAUAACAAUAGAAAAAAUUAGAAAUAUUGUUCAUUAAAGGAAUCUGAAAAUGAAGCCUUUAUAAAUAUUUGUUCCCUCUGUAAAGAAUGAAAUUUUUACUAUGAAUAAAUGAAACGAUCAAUGGAUGUAAGAUAAAAAACUGUUAAUGGUGGUUUCAGCCUUCUGAAAUUCUCAAUGGUAAGUUCGUUGCAAGGCAGUCAUUAAACGGUUUCAACAUUCUUGAUAAGAUAAUCGAGUACAGCUGACGUGCCUCGAGACUAUUAGCUCCGAUGUUGGGAAUUUUUCGAGUUAUAAUUACAGAAUGAAUUCUCAAUCACGAAGAACAGUAAAAAUAAAAACCACAAAAUCAUCGA
This is a long non-coding RNA of Ceratina calcarata, 1161 nucleotides long. RefSeq lists it as uncharacterized. NCBI's taxonomy places the organism in Eukaryota, Metazoa, Arthropoda, Insecta, Hymenoptera, Apidae. The record is from RefSeq and is a predicted model, not a curated record. The transcript has 2 exons.